CUUGGUCAUUUAGAGGAAGUAAAAGUCGUAACAAGGUCUCCGUUGGUGAACCAGCGGAGGGAUCAUUACAGAGUUGCAAAACUCCCUAAACCAUUGUGAACGUUACCUUCAAACCGUUGCUUCGGCGGGCGGCCCGGGUCCGCCCGGUGCCCCCUGGCCCCCUAGCGGGGCGCCCGCCGGAGGAAACCCAACUCUUGAUUAUUAUGGCCUCUCUGAGUCUUCUGUACUGAAUAAGUCAAAACUUUCAACAACGGAUCUCUUGGUUCUGGCAUCGAUGAAGAACGCAGCGAAAUGCGAUAAGUAAUGUGAAUUGCAGAAUUCAGUGAAUCAUCGAAUCUUUGAACGCACAUUGCGCCCGCCAGUAUUCUGGCGGGCAUGCCUGUUCGAGCGUCAUUUCAACCAUCAAGCCCCAGGCUUGUGUUGGGGACCUGCGGCUGCCGCAGGCCCUGAAAACCAGUGGCGGGCUCGCUGUCACACCGGGCGUAGUAGAUUUUAUCUCGCUCAGGGCGUGCUGCGGGUUCCGGCCGUUAAAAAGCCUUUUUUACCCAAGGUUGACCUCGGAUCAGGUAGGAAUACCCGCUGAACUUAAGCAUAUCAAUAAGCGGAGGAAAAGAAACCAACAGGGAUUGCCUCAGUAACGGCGAGUGAAGCGGCAACAGCUCAAAUUUGAAAUCUGGCCUCACGGUCCGGGUUGUAAUUUGUAGAGGAUGCUUUUGGCGAGGUGCUUUCCGAGUUCCCUGGAACGGGACGCCAUAGAGGGUGAGAGCCCCGUACGGUAAGACCACCGAGCCUCUGUAAAGCUCCUUCGACGAGUCGAGUUGUUUGGGAAU
This 830-nucleotide small RNA is filed under the name uncultured Chaetomium. RNAcentral describes it as "eukaryotic LSU rRNA". The stretch from base 553 to 830 matches the Rfam family "Eukaryotic large subunit ribosomal RNA", at positions 1 to 281 of the family's 3401-position model. Lineage: Eukaryota; Fungi; Ascomycota; Sordariomycetes; Sordariales; Chaetomiaceae. The record is from RNAcentral.